GAUGAAGAACGGAGCGAAAUGCGAUAAGUAAUGUGAAUUGCAGAAUUCAGUGAAUCAUCGAAUCUUUGAACGCACAUUGCGCCCGCCAGUAUUCUGGCGGGCAUGCCUGUUCGAGCGUCAUUUCAACCCUCAAGACCCCUUCGGGGGACUUGGUGUUGGGGACCGGCAUAGGGGCCUUGCGCCCCUCGCCGCCCCCGAAAUGAAUUGGCGGCCUCGUCGCGGCCUCCCCUGCGUAGUAGCACAACCUCGCAACGGGAACGUGACGGCGGCCACUGCCGUAAAACAACCCAAUUUUAUUAGAGUUGACCUCGAAUCAGGCAGGAAUACCCGCUGAACUUAAGCAUAUCAAUAAGCGGAGGA
RNAcentral lists this unclassified non-coding RNA (360 nucleotides) under soil metagenome. Its description in RNAcentral is "partial contains 5.8S ribosomal RNA, internal transcribed spacer 2, and large subunit ribosomal RNA". The stretch from base 1 to 120 matches the Rfam family "5.8S ribosomal RNA", at positions 35 to 154 of the family's 154-position model. The record is from RNAcentral.